AUACGGAGGAUCCGAGCGUUAUCCGGAUUUAUUGGGUUUAAAGGGUGCGUAGGCGGCCUUUUAAGUCAGCGGUGAAAGUCUGUGGCUCAACCAUAGAAUUGCCGUUGAAACUGGGGGGCUUGAGUAUGUUUGAGGCAGGCGGAAUGCGUGGGGUAGCGGUGAAAUGCAUAGAUUUUACGCAAAACCCCGAUUGGGAAGGCAGCCUGCCAAGCCAUGACUGACGCUGAUGCACGAAAGCGUGGGGAUCAAACAGGAUUAGAUACCCUGGUAGUCCACGCAGUAAACGAUGAUCACUAGCUGUUUGCGAUACACUGUAAGCGGCACAGCGAAAGCGUUAAGUGAUCCACCUGGGGAGUACGCCGGCAACGGUGAAACUCAAAGGAAUUGACGGGG
Molecule: ribosomal RNA, 393 nt
Filed under: uncultured bacterium
Lineage: Bacteria
Description: partial 16S ribosomal RNA
Rfam family: Bacterial small subunit ribosomal RNA
Source: RNAcentral